GUCUACGGCCAUGACACCCUGAACAAGCCCGAUCCCGUCUGAUCUCAAAAGCUAAGCAGGGUCGGACCUGGUUAGCACUUGAAUGGGAGACCACCUAGGAAGACCAGGUGCGGUAGGCA
RNAcentral lists this ribosomal RNA (119 nucleotides) under Pteropus alecto (black flying fox). The record is from RNAcentral. Lineage: Eukaryota; Metazoa; Chordata; Mammalia; Chiroptera; Pteropodidae.